UGCGGAGGGAUCAUUACACAAAUAUGAAAGCGGGCUGGAACCUCUCGGGGUUACAGCCUUGCUGAAUUAUUCACCCUUGUCUUUUGCGUACUUCUUGUUUCCUUGGUGGGUUCGCCCACCACUAGGACAAACAUAAACCUUUUGUAAUUGCAAUCAGCGUCAGUAACAAAUUAAUAAUUACAACUUUCAACAACGGAUCUCUUGGUUCUGGCAUCGAUGAAGAACGCAGCGAAAUGCGAUAAGUAGUGUGAAUUGCAGAAUUCAGUGAAUCAUCGAAUCUUUGAACGCACAUUGCGCCCUUUGGUAUUCCAAAGGGCAUGCCUGUUCGAGCGUCAUUUGUACCCUCAAGCUUUGCUUGGUGUUGGGCGUCUUGUCUCUAGCUUUGCUGGAGACUCGCCUUAAAGUAAUUGGCAGCCGGCCUACUGGUUUCGGAGCGCAGCACAAGUCGCACUCUCUAUCAGCAAAGGUCUAGCAUCCAUUAAGCCUUUUUUCAACUUUUGACCUCGGAUCAGGUAGGGAUACCCGCUGAACUUAAGCAUAUCAAUAAGCGGAGGAAAAGAAACCAACAGGGAUUGCCCUAGUAACGGCGAGUGAAGCGGCAACAGCUCAAUUUGAAAUCUGGCUCUUUUAGAGUCCGAGUUGUAAUUUGCAGAGGGCGCUUUGGCUUUGGCAGCGGUCCAAGUUCCUUGGAACAGGACGUCACAGAGGGUGAGAAUCCCGUACGUGGUCGCU
Molecule: ribosomal RNA, 732 nt
Filed under: fungal sp.
Lineage: Eukaryota; Fungi
Description: eukaryotic LSU rRNA
Rfam family: Eukaryotic large subunit ribosomal RNA (bases 499-732)
Source: RNAcentral